UACAAUCGUUGCAGCGAAGAGGGUCUCGUUUUGUUUAUUGCAAAACUGUAAACCAAAACUGUAUGAAACAACAGAGUGUGUAUUUCUUUCCAGGCUUAGGGUCAGUUCCACCAGAUAGUGAAAGCAUGCAUCAACUCUCAACGCAUGCAGUCCAGUUAAACUUGGACGAUCCUCAAGUUGGGAAUGAUGAAGAUUGCGGCUCACACUGUCCUUUUUGCAAGUGCUGAAGUUACACGUUCAUCGAGAAAAAGUGCAUUGGGUGGUUUAGGGUCAAUGUGCCUGGAUUCCUGGAUUGAUUGAUGACGCAAGGUGGCCAACGUGGCCUCCACUUCUCGCCGAAAUGAGCGCAACUGAGAAAAUU
Rhipicephalus microplus (southern cattle tick) is the source of this 361-nucleotide long non-coding RNA. NCBI's taxonomy places the organism in Eukaryota, Metazoa, Arthropoda, Arachnida, Ixodida, Ixodidae. The record is from RefSeq and is a predicted model, not a curated record.